This 349-nucleotide ribosomal RNA is filed under the name uncultured bacterium. Its description in RNAcentral is "bacterial SSU rRNA". It matches the Rfam family "Bacterial small subunit ribosomal RNA", at positions 163 to 507 of the family's 1533-position model. The record is from RNAcentral.
CUAAUACCGCAUAUUCUGUGAGCAGGAAAGCAGGGGAUCGCAAGACCUUGCGCUGAUUGAGCGGCCGAUAUCAGAUUAGCUAGUUGGUGAGGUAAAGGCUCACCAAGGCGACGAUCUGUAGCGGGUCUGAGAGGAUGAUCCGCCACACUGGAACUGAGACACGGUCCAGACUCCUACGGGAGGCAGCAGUGGGGAAUUUUGGACAAUGGGCGCAAGCCUGAUCCAGCCAUGCCGCGUGAGUGAAGAAGGCCUUCGGGUUGUAAAGCUCUUUCGGCCGGGAAGAAAUCGCACAGGUUAAUACCCUGUGUGGAUGACGGUACCGGAAUAAGAAGCACCGGCUAACUACGUG